RNAcentral lists this ribosomal RNA (400 nucleotides) under uncultured bacterium. RNAcentral's name for it is "bacterial SSU rRNA". It matches the Rfam family "Bacterial small subunit ribosomal RNA", at positions 129 to 524 of the family's 1533-position model. The record is from RNAcentral.
CCUGGUAGUGGGGGAUGACAACCGGAAACGGUUGCUAAUACCGCAUACGUCCUACGGGAGAAAGUGGGGGAUCUUCGGACCUCACGCUAUCAGAUGAGCCUAGGUCGGAUUAGCUAGUUGGCGGGGUAAAGGCCCACCAAGGCGACGAUCCGUAACUGGUCUGAGAGGAUGAUCAGUCACACUGGAACUGAGACACGGUCCAGACUCCUACGGGAGGCAGCAGUGGGGAAUAUUGGACAAUGGGCGAAAGCCUGAUCCAGCCAUGCCGCGUGUGUGAAGAAGGUCUUCGGAUUGUAAAGCACUUUAAGUUGGGAGGAAGGGUCGUUACCUAAUACGUGAUGGCUUUGACGUUACCGACAGAAUAAGCACCGGCUAACUCUGUGCCAGCAGCCGCGGUAAU